RNAcentral lists this ribosomal RNA (253 nucleotides) under uncultured bacterium. Its description in RNAcentral is "partial 16S ribosomal RNA". It matches the Rfam family "Bacterial small subunit ribosomal RNA", at positions 524 to 776 of the family's 1533-position model. The record is from RNAcentral.
GACAGAGGGGGCAAGCGUUGCUCGGAAUCACUGGGCGUAAAGGGCGCGUAGGCGGCGCGGUAAGUCACUUGUGAAAUCUCUGAGCUUAACUCAGAACGGCCAAGUGAUACUGCAGUGCUAGAGUGCAGAAGGGGCAAUCGGAAUUCUUGGUGUAGCGGUGAAAUGCGUAGAUAUCAAGAGGAACACCUGAGGUGAAGACGGGUUGCUAGGCUGACACUGACGCUGAGGCGCGAAAGCCAGGGGAGCAAACGGG